Long non-coding RNA from Parus major (Great Tit), 1485 nucleotides. RefSeq lists it as uncharacterized. The transcript has 2 exons. The record is from RefSeq and is a predicted model, not a curated record. NCBI's taxonomy places the organism in Eukaryota, Metazoa, Chordata, Aves, Passeriformes, Paridae.
CGAGCGGCUGAAUAGAGCCUGCUCGGCCCAAAGCUGCGGCAGUAGGAGUGGGGGAGAGAGAUAGACUGAAAAACUGCUGGGAAUGGGAAAGAAGGAACGGAACAAAAGCCGAGAAACAGACCGGUGGAUAAUGACACCAAAGCAAAAGUAGUCUUGCUCGUUAGGUUCUGAAAACCUCAUCAAGGUGUUUAAUUUCUUGAAAUAGGAUCUCUUUUUCUCUUACUUUUUUCUUCCCUUUCUUUCUUUUAUUCUUGUUGUUAAAAAGGAAGGGGUUUGUUCUAAGAAACCGAUAAAAGAAGUUUGUGAAGCUAAACAAGUAAAUAGUAACCAAAGGGUAAAAAGGUAAUGAAUGUAAUUUAGUUGAAAUCAAAACUAACCUAGCCUUUCUUGUUUAACUAAUUUGAACGCGCAGAAAGAGAUUGGCUCCUAUGUUAACUGUUAAAUUUCGUUUAACCCAAGAAUUUUAAAGAAUACUGAUGGAAAAUUUUGAUGCGAUGUUUUCAUUCUCCCUGUGUUAUUAAGAAAUUGUUUUCAGGUACUACUGAUAAUUAAGGCAGAGAAGCUGCAAUCUGGACCAAAGAGUGAAGUUGAAUUCACACCAAUAAGAUAAAAAACCUGAGGACUGAACUGUAACACCCAAAUCCAGUGAUACCAAAUGGACUCUUGAGCAGAGACCGGCGGUAAUGAACUGAGACAAUCCAAAUGACCCAAGGAAUUGAGCUAAGAAUCACUCCUGAGAAGUAAGACCAAGCCUGUAUCAGUAGUUUCAAGUCCUGCCUAGACAAGUUCUGAGACACUUUCGAUAUUCACCUUGGAAGGAAAACUCCUACUCCAAACAGGAGGACUGGGACUGUUUUGGUCGGGAAAUCCUUGUAUAUUUUUGCUUUUGCCUGUGAUUUGUACAAAAGAGGGGGGAGAACCACAACUUCCAUCAGUGCCACAUCAUAUACCUUGUCUAAAUCAUCCCAAUACGAGGCAUUCUAUCUGGAUUAAACAUAAGUGUUUAAAUUAGAGAAUAAUAGGUAUUGUGGUUCACAAAGUUAAGCCUGUCAUUGCAGGAUGUGUUAGGUGCCAAAUCUAUUAAGAAUAACUUAAAUGAUAACUUUCUUUUACAGAUGGGAAAUUACUAGUGCGUGUUGAGUGGGAAGCACCUGAGGAAUGAUGGGAAACUGCUGUUAAAAGCAAGUUUUAGGCUUAGAUAGGAAUUCUGAAUGAUAAGGAUAUGUUUCCUCUGGACAAGGCAAGAUAAACAAUGGGAGGAUCAAGCUGUGGAAAACAGGCUGUUAUCAGCAGCAGAAAAUGGAGAGCAAACUGUUAUCGACGAGCCGGUACCAGGACACUGGCAGGGAGGAAAGCCACCCUCACAGGAAGGAUAAGGGGGCCCAAGCCCUUGUCGGCCAAUAACCAUCUGCAGAAAGAAAACUAAACUCCAAAAUAAUGCCGAAAAAUGAUGACCAGCAAACUAUAUACUGACCAGCAAAAAAA